This 486-nucleotide long non-coding RNA is filed under the name Vombatus ursinus (common wombat). Its description in RNAcentral is "lncRNA (ENSVURG00010009053.1)". The record is from RNAcentral. Lineage: Eukaryota; Metazoa; Chordata; Mammalia; Diprotodontia; Vombatidae.
GAGAGAGAGAGAGAGAGAGAGAGAGAGGAGUGUGUACUCAUCUUUAGCAAAGGGACAAAUCCUCUUCCCUCAUUCUACUCACUUCUGGGGAAAAGCCCAGGUGUGGUUGAGGUUUCAGCCCAGGGAGGGCUGGCCCAGCAGGGACAGGAAGCAAGGACGCCGGGGAUUGUCUCUCCCAGCAGCCGCAGUCCCCAGUUUAGGAGGAAGUAUGCUGGGCGCUCUCCUCCGGUGACUCCACUCUCUAUAUUGUUCAACAGGAAACGAGGGAGUGAGCAAGUGAGAAAGAAAGGGAGGGAGGGAGCCAGCCAGCCAGCUCUCGGUCGUCUAGUCCAGGCCCCACUCUCGGCAUUCAGACUGAUCUGCUCAGAUGUCAGAAGCCUGACUUGCUUUCGAGCCAGUCACCUCUGAAACUCAUCUCAGUCUAGCUCAUGGGUUCCCAAAGUGGCCAGCCUUUUCCCAGGUAGCGAAGCUGUUGGAGAGGGCCGA